Molecule: ribosomal RNA, 538 nt
Filed under: uncultured cyanobacterium
Lineage: Bacteria; Bacillati; Cyanobacteriota
Description: bacterial SSU rRNA
Rfam family: Bacterial small subunit ribosomal RNA
Source: RNAcentral
GGGUGAGUAACACGUGANNNUUUGCCUUUAGGAGGGGGAUAACAAUUGGAAACGAAUGCUAAUACCCCAUAUGCUUCUUAGUGAAAUGGAUUUUAUCCGCCUAAAGAGAAGCUCGCGGCUGAUUAGCUUGUUGGUAAGGUAAGAGCUUACCAAGGCGACGAUCAGUAUCUGGUUUGAGAGGACGAUCAGACACACUGGAACUGAGACACGGUCCAGACUCCUACGGGAGGCAGCAGUGGGGAAUUUUCCGCAAUGGGCGAAAGCCUGACGGAGCAAUACCGCGUGAGGGAAGACUGCCCAUGGGUUGUAAACCUCUUUUUUCAGGGAGGAAUAAAAUGACGUGUACCUGAAGAAUAAGCAUCGGCUAACUCCGUGCCAGCAGCCGCGGUAAGACGGAGGAUGCAAGUGUUAUCCGGAAUCACUGGGCGUAAAGCGUCUGUAGGUGGUUUAAUAAGUCAACUGUUAAAUCUUGAGGCUCAACUUCAAAACCGCAGUCGAAACUAUUAGACUAGAGUAUAGUAGAGGUAAAGGGAAUUUC